Non-coding RNA from Cinara cedri, 212 nucleotides. NCBI's taxonomy places the organism in Eukaryota, Metazoa, Arthropoda, Insecta, Hemiptera, Aphididae. The record is from the annotation of a GenBank genome assembly.
AAACAAUCAAAUAAAAUGUUGCACAACUAGCAGUUCCAUCAAUAAUAACAUAUUUUAGUUGCUUCAAGUAAAAUCGAAUUAGUAUCAGUGUUGCCAUCAAAGUGCGUCACACCUUAAUUCACAGUAUUAAUUAGCCAUGUCACCCACAUAGAGGUACCGCACUUUAAGCUAUUGUUGCAGUCUAGUGAGAAUCUCUAGAGUGGGGGAACAUG